RNAcentral lists this transfer RNA (131 nucleotides) under Imshaugia aleurites. Its description in RNAcentral is "tRNA-Thr". Lineage: Eukaryota; Fungi; Ascomycota; Lecanoromycetes; Lecanorales; Parmeliaceae. The record is from RNAcentral.
GAUUCCUUAGCUCAGCUGGAUAGAGCAUCGUCCUAGUUAGCGUUCCUCUGCCUUUACGUCGUUGUAAUUGACUAAUUCCACACAGAUAAUCUGCAAGACGAAGGUCGCGAGUUCAAUCCUCGUAGGGACCA